This 64-nucleotide transfer RNA is filed under the name Celleporella hyalina. RNAcentral's name for it is "tRNA-Leu". Lineage: Eukaryota; Metazoa; Bryozoa; Gymnolaemata; Cheilostomatida; Hippothoidae. The record is from RNAcentral.
AUAAAUCAAUAAUGACAAAGUUUACGAAGAUUUAGAAUCUUUGUUUUGCUUAUAGCAAUUUGUU